GUGACGGAACGUAGCGUGGAACGGCAGUCAGCGUCACGAGGACUCAUUUCGAACGUGCGCCAGCGACAGUAAUGGAUGAUGUGGCAUCAUGCGCUUUGUAUCGGUAUUUAAUGUAGUGCAACGUGAUUACGCGCUCCCAAGAAAUAUGAAUCGAGGCUGACGAGGUUUCUCUGGGUUUCUGUACAUCUGGGCUGUUCCAUUCCAGUAUUUAGUUAUAUAAGGGAUGUCACUGUGUAACCUAGUACCGUAUUUCUCUUAUGAGUAAAUUGUGUAGAGCAGGGUUUUCAACUCUUUCUUCCAGAGGUUGUAUUAUUAUUUUUUUUAAACUGUGCAAACGGGCCAAACAUUUUUCAUAUGCUGUUUAUAAAACAAUAUAUGAACAGGAUGUUUUGUAUAUGUGUGUAUACAAAGUAAAACCAUAGUUUAAGUAUGCAUAGUUAAUACUUACUAUUCUGUCACUAGUGGGAGGUAUGUUAACAUGAUGCAGAUACAGAUCUGGAUAUAGUCUCAAUAGUCACAAGGAUACAUCUGAAUUUCUCUGACCCACCCUAGUGUACAGUGACAUAAUGGCACUAGAGGUCAUAGAUCAUGGAGCUUGCUCAGAGUUAACAGAAUAGGACAAGGAGGUUUAUCGAAACAGUAGUGGUGGUUACAUUCAGAUAUAGCAAAAGUGUGCACACUAAAAGCCUGUAGAAAUGCAACUAAUAUAAAUAUUUGUGUGCGCAAUCAAAACAGAAAAAAAAUCAAAGCUUUGUAUCAAAGUGCGAUCUUCAGCGUCGAGAACAGUGUAUUUACAUUUGACUGUAAUUCUUCAAAAUUAAAUAAAAUGAAAAUCUCACUGCA
Long non-coding RNA from Anguilla rostrata (American eel), 843 nucleotides. RefSeq lists it as uncharacterized. The record is from RefSeq and is a predicted model, not a curated record. The transcript is spliced from 2 exons. Lineage: Eukaryota; Metazoa; Chordata; Actinopteri; Anguilliformes; Anguillidae.